AGCGAACGCUGGCGGCAGGCUUAACACAUGCAAGUCGAGCGCCCCGCAAGGGGAGCGGCAGACGGGAGAGUAACACGUGGGAACGUACCCUUUAGUUCGGAACAACCCAGGGAAACUUGGGCUAAUACCGGAUACGUCCGUAAGGAGAAAAAUUUAUCGCUAAAGGAUCGGCCCGCGUCUGAUUAGCUAGUUGGUGAGGUAACGGCUCACCAAGGCGACGAUCAGUAGCUGGUCUGAGAGGAUGAUCAGCCACACUGGGCCUGAGACACGGCCCAGACUCAGACGGGAGGCAGCAGUGGGGAAUAUUGGACAAUGGGCGCAAGCCUGAUCCAGCCAUGCCGCGUGGGUGAUGAAGGCCCUAGGGUGGUAAAGCCCGUUCGGCGGGGAAGAUAAUGACGGUACCCGCAGAAGAAGCCCCGGCUAACUUCGUGCCAGCCGCCGCGGUAA
RNAcentral lists this ribosomal RNA (447 nucleotides) under uncultured bacterium. Its description in RNAcentral is "partial 16S ribosomal RNA". It matches the Rfam family "Bacterial small subunit ribosomal RNA", at positions 29 to 523 of the family's 1533-position model. The record is from RNAcentral.